CCUACGGGGGGCUGCAGUAGGGAAUCUUCCACAAUGGACGAAAGUCUGAUGGAGCAACGCCGCGUGAGUGAAGAAGGUUUUAGGAUCGUAAAACUCUGUUGUUGGAGAAGAACAGGGACUAGAGUAACUGUUAGUCCUUUGACGGUAUCCAACCAGAAAGCCACGGCUAACUACGUGCCAGCAGCCGCGGUAAUACGUAGGUGGCAAGCGUUGUCCGGAUUUAUUGGGCGUAAAGCGAGCGCAGGCGGUUUUUUAAGUCUGAUGUGAAAGCCUUCGGCUUAACCGAAGAAGUGCAUUAGAAACUGGGAAACUUGAGUGCAGAAGAGGACAGUGGAACUCCAUGUGUAGCGGUGAAAUGCGUAGAUAUAUGGAAGAACACCAGUGGCGAAGGCGGCUGUCUGGUCUGUAACUGACGCUGAGGCUCGAAAGUAUGGGGAGCGAACAGGCUUAGAUACCCCGGUAGUC
Molecule: ribosomal RNA, 465 nt
Filed under: uncultured Lactobacillus sp.
Lineage: Bacteria; Bacillati; Bacillota; Bacilli; Lactobacillales; Lactobacillaceae
Description: bacterial SSU rRNA
Rfam family: Bacterial small subunit ribosomal RNA
Source: RNAcentral